AUAAAAACAUUAAACAAAAUAUUCUAUUUUCUUAAAACAUAAUAUUUUCAAAGUCUUCCUAAAAUAACUUUUGUAGCGUAAGAGUAAAAUAAAUUUAUUCAUAUAGUAAUAAAGAUAAUUAAAGUAUAAAAUUUCGUUUACAGUGACACGUGGGCCCCCAACUGACUAAGAAGAUGUAGGGCUACGAACCCUUACUUUCUAGGAUGCAACUCCGAGAUUAAUUCUCGUCUUAAUCAACUAUCAACAAACUGUCCUGAGCCUGAAAAAUGGAUAGGAAGAGGGGUGAGAUU
This 290-nucleotide long non-coding RNA is filed under the name Theobroma cacao (cacao). RNAcentral's name for it is "long non-coding RNA (TCAC_LNC004612)". The record is from RNAcentral. Lineage: Eukaryota; Viridiplantae; Streptophyta; Magnoliopsida; Malvales; Malvaceae.